AAAUUGAAGAGUUUGAUCAUGGCUCAGAUUGAACGCUGGCGGCAGGCCUAACACAUGCAAGUCGAACGGUAACAGAAAGAAGCUUGCUUCUUUGCUGACGAGUGGCGGACGGGUGAGUAAUGUCUGGGAAACUGCCUGAUGGAGGGGGAUAACUACUGGAAACGGUAGCUAAUACCGCAUAACGUCGCAAGACCAAAGAGGGGGACCUUCGGGCCUCUUGCCAUCGGAUGUGCCCAGAUGGGAUUAGCUAGUAGGUGGGGUAACGGCUCACCUAGGCGACGAUCCCUAGCUGGUCUGAGAGGAUGACCAGCCACACUGGAACUGAGACACGGUCCAGACUCCUACGGGAG
This 350-nucleotide ribosomal RNA is filed under the name Escherichia coli. RNAcentral describes it as "bacterial SSU rRNA". It matches the Rfam family "Bacterial small subunit ribosomal RNA", at positions 1 to 347 of the family's 1533-position model. The record is from RNAcentral. Lineage: Bacteria; Pseudomonadati; Pseudomonadota; Gammaproteobacteria; Enterobacterales; Enterobacteriaceae.